UACAGAGGGUGCGAGCGUUGUUCGGAAUUACUGGGCGUAAAGCGCGUGUAGGCAGUUUCGCAAGUCGGGUGUGAAAGCCCUGGGCUCAACCUAGGAAGUGCACUCGAAACUGCGAGACUUGAGUCCUGGAGAGGAAGGCGGAAUUCUCGGUGUAGAGGUGAAAUUCGUAGAUAUCGAGAGGAACACCGGUGGCGAAGGCGGCCUUCUGGACAGUGACUGACGCUGAGACGCGAAAGCGUGGGGAGCAAACAGG
RNAcentral lists this ribosomal RNA (253 nucleotides) under uncultured bacterium. RNAcentral's name for it is "partial 16S ribosomal RNA". It matches the Rfam family "Bacterial small subunit ribosomal RNA", at positions 524 to 776 of the family's 1533-position model. The record is from RNAcentral.